This 440-nucleotide ribosomal RNA is filed under the name uncultured bacterium. RNAcentral's name for it is "partial 16S ribosomal RNA". It matches the Rfam family "Bacterial small subunit ribosomal RNA", at positions 338 to 795 of the family's 1533-position model. The record is from RNAcentral.
CCUACGGGGGGCAGCAGUGGGGGAUAUUGCACAAUGGGGGAAACCCUGAUGCAGCGACGCCGCGUGGGUGAAGAAGCGCCUAGGCGCGUAAAGCCCUGUCAGCAGGGAAGAAAAUGACGGUACCUGAAGAAGAAGCCCCGGCUAACUACGUGCCAGCAGCCGCGGUAAUACGUAGGGGGCAAGCGUUAUCCGGAUUUACUGGGUGUAAAGGGGGCGCAGACGGCGAUGCAAGCCAGGAGUGAAAGCCCGGGGCCCAACCCCGGGACUGCUCUUGGAACUGCGUGGCUAGAGUGCAGGAGGGGCAGGCGGAAUUCCGGGUGUAGCGGUGAAAUGCGUAGAUAUCAGGAGGAACACCGGUGGCGAAGGCGGCCUGCUGGACUGCAACUGACGUUGAGGCCCGAAAGCGUGGGGAGCAAACAGGAUUAGAUACCCCAGUAGUC